CAGUCGCCACGGUAAUGCGAAGGGUGCAAGCGUUAAUCGGAAUUACUGGGCGUAAAGCGUGCGUAGGCGGUUUGUUAAGUCUGUUGUGAAAUCCCCGGGCUCAACCUGGGAAUGGCAAUGGAUACUGGCAAGCUAGAGUGUGUCAGAGGAUGGUGGAAUUCCCGGUGUAGCGGUGAAAUGCGUAGAGAUCGGGAGGAACAUCAGUGGCGAAGGCGGCCAUCUGGGACAACACUGACGCUGAGGCACGAAAGCGUGGGGAGCAAACAGGAUUAGAUACCCGUGUAGUCCCUGUCUCUUAUAC
RNAcentral lists this ribosomal RNA (301 nucleotides) under uncultured bacterium. Its description in RNAcentral is "partial 16S ribosomal RNA". It matches the Rfam family "Bacterial small subunit ribosomal RNA", at positions 509 to 807 of the family's 1533-position model. The record is from RNAcentral.